This 468-nucleotide ribosomal RNA is filed under the name uncultured bacterium. RNAcentral's name for it is "partial 16S ribosomal RNA". It matches the Rfam family "Bacterial small subunit ribosomal RNA", at positions 28 to 507 of the family's 1533-position model. The record is from RNAcentral.
GACGAACGCUGGCGGCGUGCUUAACACAUGCAAGUCGAACGGCAAGGCCCUGCUUUUGUGGGGUGCUCGAGUGGCGAACGGGUGAGUAACACGUGAGUAACCUGCCCUGGACUGUGGGAUAACUUCAGGAAACUGGGGCUAAUACCGGAUAGGAGCUCCUGCUGCAUGGUGGGGGUUGGAAAGUUUCGGCGGUUGGGGAUGGACUGGCGGCUUAUCAGCUUGUUGGUGGGGUAGUGGCUUACCAAGGGUUUGAUGGGUAGCCGGCCUGGGAGGGUGAACGGCCCCAUUGGGACUGAGAUACGGCGCAGAGGCCUACGGGAGGCAGCAGUGGGGAAUAUUGUACAAUGGGCGGAAGCCUGAUGCAGCAACGCCGCGUGCGGGAUGAAGGCUUUCGGGUUGUAAACCGCAUUCGCCUGUGACGAAGCGUGAGUGACGGUAAUGGGUAAAGAAGCACCGGCUAACUACGUG